Molecule: ribosomal RNA, 478 nt
Filed under: uncultured bacterium
Lineage: Bacteria
Description: bacterial SSU rRNA
Rfam family: Bacterial small subunit ribosomal RNA
Source: RNAcentral
GACGAACGCUGGCGGCGUGCUUAACACAUGCAAGUCGAACGGAAAGGCCCGCUUGCGGGUACUCGAGUGGCGAACGGGUGAGUAACACGUGGGCAACCUACCCUCAGCUUUGGGAUAACCCCCGGAAACGGGAGCUAAUACCGAAUACUGAUCUCUCAUCGCAUGGUGAGAUAUCGAAAGUUUUUCGGCUGAGGAUGGGCCCGCGGCCUAUCAGCUUGUUGGUGGGGUAAUGGCCUACCAAGGCGACGACGGGUAGCCGGCCUGAGAGGGCGACCGGCCACACUGGAACUGAGACACGGUCCAGACUCCUACGGGAGGCAGCAGUGGGGAAUAUUGCGCAAUGGGCGAAAGCCUGACGCAGCGACGCCGCGUGAGGGAUGACGGCCUUCGGGUUGUAAACCUCUUUCGACAGGGACGAAUUUGACGGUACCUGUAGAAGAAGCUCCGGCUAACUACGUGCCAGCCGCCGCGGUAACAC